GACGAACGCUGGCGGCGUGGAUUAGGCAUGCAAGUCGAACGGUAUCAUCCUUUCGGGGGUGAGAGAGUGGCGAACUGGUGAGUAACACGUAGGUUAUCUACCCUCAAGACGGGGACAACCCAGGGAAACUUGGGCUAAUACCGGAUGUGAGCAACUUUUAGUUGUUUGAAAGGUGGCGUAAGCUGUCGCUUGGGGAUGAGCCUGCGUCCUAUUAGUUAGUUGGUGAGGUAACGGCUCACCUAGGCAAUGAUAGGUAGGCGGCCUUAACGGGUGGUCGCCCACACUGGGAUUGAGAUACGGCCCAGACUCCUACGGGAGGCAGCAGUCGAGAAUAGUCUACAAUGGUCGGAAGACUGAUAGUGCGACGCCGCGUGAACGAUGAAUCCCUUCGGGGUGUAAAGUUCUUUUAUAUGUGAGCAGUGCUUCUUAUAUUAACAGUAUGGGGAGAGAGAUAUUAGCAUAAUGAAUAAAGCAAACGGCUAAACUCCGUGCCAGCAGCCGCGGUAAAACGU
Molecule: ribosomal RNA, 512 nt
Filed under: uncultured bacterium
Lineage: Bacteria
Description: bacterial SSU rRNA
Rfam family: Bacterial small subunit ribosomal RNA
Source: RNAcentral